Molecule: ribosomal RNA, 429 nt
Filed under: Pseudomonadota bacterium
Lineage: Bacteria; Pseudomonadati; Pseudomonadota
Description: Proteobacteria bacterium partial 16S ribosomal RNA
Rfam family: Bacterial small subunit ribosomal RNA
Source: RNAcentral
UGGGGAAUAUUGGACAAUGGGCGAAAGCCUGAUCCAGCCAUGCCGCGUGUGUGAAGAAGGUCUUCGGAUUGUAAAGCACUUUAAGUUGGGAGGAAGGGCAGUAAGCGAAUACCUUGCUGUUUUGACGUUACCGACAGAAUAAGCACCGGCUAACUCUGUGCCAGCAGCCGCGGUAAUACAGAGGGUGCAAGCGUUAAUCGGAAUUACUGGGCGUAAAGCGCGCGUAGGUGGUUUGUUAAGUUGAAUGUGAAAGCCCCGGGCUCAACCUGGGAACUGCAUCCAAAACUGGCGGGCUAGAGUAGGGCAGAGGGUGGUGGAAUUUCCUGUGUAGCGGUGAAAUGCGUAGAUAUAGGAAGGAGCACCAGUGGCGAAGGCGACCACCUGGGCUCAUACUGACACUGAGGUGCGAAAGCGUGGGGAGCAAACAGG